CCCUUAGAUGCUCUGGGCCGCACGCGCGCUACACUGGUCGAUGCAACGAGUUUCUUUCCUUGGCCGACAGGCCUGGGCAAUCUUUGAACAUCGAUCGUGAUCGGGAUAGAUUCUUGUAAUUUUUGAUCUUAAACGAGGAAUUCCUAGUAAACGCAAGUCAUCAGCUUGCAUUGAUUACGUCCCUGCCCUUUGUACACACCGCCCGUCGCACCUACCGAUUGAAUGGUCCGGUGAAAUCUCCGGACUGGCGUGAGUCGGAGCAAUCUGACAAACACCGGAAAGUUGAUUAAACCUUACCAUCUAGAGGAAGGUGAAGUCGUAACA
RNAcentral lists this ribosomal RNA (324 nucleotides) under uncultured eukaryote. Its description in RNAcentral is "partial 18S ribosomal RNA". It matches the Rfam family "Eukaryotic small subunit ribosomal RNA", at positions 1470 to 1796 of the family's 1831-position model. The record is from RNAcentral.